RNAcentral lists this ribosomal RNA (466 nucleotides) under uncultured Gaiellaceae bacterium. RNAcentral's name for it is "bacterial SSU rRNA". It matches the Rfam family "Bacterial small subunit ribosomal RNA", at positions 336 to 795 of the family's 1533-position model. Lineage: Bacteria; Bacillati; Actinomycetota; Thermoleophilia; Gaiellales; Gaiellaceae. The record is from RNAcentral.
UUCCUACGGGAGGCUGCAGUGGGGAAUCUUGCGCAAUGGGCGAAAGCCUGACGCAGCGACGCCGCGUGCGGGAAGAAGGCCUUCGGGUUGUAAACCGCUUUCAGGAGGGACGAAGCCACUCGGGUGAAUAGCCCAGAGGGUGACGGUACCUCCAGAAGAAGCCCCGGCUAACUACGUGCCAGCAGCCGCGGUAAUACGUAGGGGGCAAGCGUUGUCCGGAUUCAUUGGGCGUAAAGAGCGUGUAGGCGGCCAGGUAGGUCGGUUGUGAAAACUGGAGGCUCAACCUUCAGACGUCGACCGAAACCCCCUGGCUAGAGUCCGGGAGAGGAGAGUGGAAUUCCUGGUGUAGCGGUGGAAUGCGCAGAUAUCAGGAAGAACACCCGUGGCGAAAGCGGCUCUCUGGAACGGUACUGACGCUGAGACGCGAAAGCGUGGGGAGCGAACAGGAUUAGAUACCCUGGUAGUC